This 484-nucleotide ribosomal RNA is filed under the name uncultured bacterium. Its description in RNAcentral is "partial 16S ribosomal RNA". It matches the Rfam family "Bacterial small subunit ribosomal RNA", at positions 30 to 507 of the family's 1533-position model. The record is from RNAcentral.
AUUGAACGCUGGCGGCAGGCCUAACACAUGCAAGUCGAGCGGAUGAAGGGAGCUUGCUCCUGGAUUCAGCGGCGGACGGGUGAGUAAUGCCUAGGAAUCCGCCUGGUAGUGGGGGAUAACGUCCGGAAACGGGCGCUAAUACCGCAUACGUCCUGAGGGAGAAAGUGGGGGAUCUUCGGACCUCACGCUAUCAGAUGAGCCUAGGUCGGAUUAGCUAGUUGGUGGGGUAAAGGCCUACCAAGGCGACGAUCCGUAACUGGUCUGAGAGGAUGAUCAGUCACACUGGAACUGAGACACGGUCCAGACUCCUACGGGAGGCAGCAGUGGGGAAUAUUGGACAAUGGGCGAAAGCCUGAUCCAGCCAUGCCGCGUGUGUGAAGAAGGUCUUCGGAUUGUAAAGCACUUUAAGUUGGGAGGAAGGGCAGUAAGUUAAUACCUUGCGGUUUUGACGUUACCAACAGAAUAAGCACCGGCUAACUUCGUG